GACGGAGGGUGCAAGCGUUGUUCGGAAUUACUGGGCGUAAAGCGUACGUAGGCGGCGGAUUAAGUCGAAUGUUAAAGCCUGGGGCUCAACCCCAGAGAUGCAUUCGAUACUGGUCUGCUAGAGGGUGAUAGAGGAAAGCGGAAUUCCCAGUGUAGCGGUGAAAUGCGUAGAUAUUGGGAGGAACAUCAGUAGCGAAGGCGGCUUUCUGGGUCACACCUGACGCUGAGGUACGAAAGCGUGGGGAGCAAACGGG
RNAcentral lists this ribosomal RNA (253 nucleotides) under uncultured bacterium. Its description in RNAcentral is "partial 16S ribosomal RNA". It matches the Rfam family "Bacterial small subunit ribosomal RNA", at positions 524 to 776 of the family's 1533-position model. The record is from RNAcentral.